RNAcentral lists this ribosomal RNA (253 nucleotides) under uncultured bacterium. RNAcentral describes it as "partial 16S ribosomal RNA". It matches the Rfam family "Bacterial small subunit ribosomal RNA", at positions 524 to 776 of the family's 1533-position model. The record is from RNAcentral.
UACGUAGGGUGCGAGCGUUAAUCGGAAUUACUGGGCGUAAAGCGUGCGCAGGCGGUGCUGUAAGACCGAUGUGAAAUCCCCGGGCUUAACCUGGGAACUGCAUUGGUGACUGCAGCGCUGGAGUAUGGCAGAGGGGGGUGGAAUUCCACGUGUAGCAGUGAAAUGCGUAGAGAUGUGGAGGAACACCGAUGGCGAAGGCAGCCCCCUGGGCCAAUACUGACGCUCAUGCACGAAGGCUAGGGGAGCAAACAGG